GGAAGAAGAAAACUCUACACAGACCUUGAAAGAUGCUCCUUCAAUGAAAACCUCAGGAGUUUCAGAGAUAAACUACGACAUUCACUGCAUGGUUUCCAUUGUGCAUCUUAGUUUUGAUGAGGAAUACAUGUUUCAUGUCUUAGAAGAGUAAAAUCAUAUGAGAAAAAGAAAGAAGGACAUGGAAGACACCUGCUCUUCCCUGAGGUCUGUGAAAGCAUCAAAGGAAGUGCAAUACAAAACACUGCAAACAAAAGUAGAACAUAUCUAUGACAUCUGUGAUGGAAGUAGGAAGGCUGCAGAGGAGAAGCUAUUUAUGAGAUGACGUGAGGGGGAAGAGAAACAAAAGAAGCUGUCAAUUGUACAAGAUAAAGAGAAG
Long non-coding RNA from Tupaia belangeri chinensis (Chinese tree shrew), 376 nucleotides. RefSeq lists it as uncharacterized. Lineage: Eukaryota; Metazoa; Chordata; Mammalia; Scandentia; Tupaiidae. The record is from RefSeq and is a predicted model, not a curated record. The transcript has 3 exons.